UAAAGGAUCCUCACAUACUGCAGUGAUGACUCUGUGCACCUACCAAGGAAGGAGAUGCCACAGGAGCCAGUAAAGUAUUUCCUUGGUGGUCAGGAACAAGGUCUAUUAGCACAGGUGCCACCCUUAGAGUUCCCAGUGCAUCAUCAGCCUGGGGAUCAUGUCCUCAUCAAGAGCUGGAAAGAGGAGAAGCCUGAGCCAGCCUGGGAAUCUCAUUACUUACUGCUCCUCACUACUGAAACCGCAGUCCGCACGGCAGAGAGAGGAUGGACUCAUCACACCAGAGUCAAGAACGCGCCACCACCUCCAGAGUGGUGGGCCAUAGUCCCAGGGGAAAACCCUACCAAACUAAAGCUAAGAAGAAUUUAACUGUC
This 371-nucleotide long non-coding RNA is filed under the name Homo sapiens (human). RNAcentral's name for it is "HSALNT0396036". The record is from RNAcentral. Lineage: Eukaryota; Metazoa; Chordata; Mammalia; Primates; Hominidae.